CCUACGGGAGGCAGCAGUGAGGAAUAUUGGUCAAUGGCCGGAAGGCUGAACCAGCCAUGCCGCGUGAAGGUCAGUGCCCUAUGGGCGUUAAACUUCUUUUGUGCGGGAGCAAUAAUGGUCACGUGUGGCCAGACGAGAGUACCGUACGAAUAAGCCACGGCUAACUACGUGCCAGCAGCCGCGGUAAUACGUAGGUGGCAAGCGUUGUCCGGAUUUACUGGGUGUAAAGGGCGUGUAGCCGGGCUGACAAGUCAGAUGUGAAAUUCCGGGGCUCAACCCCGGACCUGCAUUUGAAACUGUUGGUCUUGAGUAUCGGAGAGGCAGGCGGAAUUCCUAGUGUAGCGGUGAAAGGCGUAGAUAUUAGGAGGAACACCAGUGGCGAAGGCGGCCUGCUGGACGACAACUGACGGUGAGGCGCGAAAGCGUGGGGAGCAAACAGGAUUAGAUACCCGAGUAGUC
This 459-nucleotide ribosomal RNA is filed under the name uncultured bacterium. RNAcentral's name for it is "partial 16S ribosomal RNA". It matches the Rfam family "Bacterial small subunit ribosomal RNA", at positions 338 to 795 of the family's 1533-position model. The record is from RNAcentral.